UAGGAUCUUCUGGUUCUAUGGUAAAUGUC
Molecule: non-coding RNA, 29 nt
Filed under: Rattus norvegicus (Norway rat)
Lineage: Eukaryota; Metazoa; Chordata; Mammalia; Rodentia; Muridae
Source: RNAcentral